RNAcentral lists this ribosomal RNA (93 nucleotides) under Laceyella sacchari. The record is from RNAcentral. Lineage: Bacteria; Bacillati; Bacillota; Bacilli; Caryophanales; Thermoactinomycetaceae.
AUCCACCCGUUCCCAUACCGAACACGGAAGUUAAGCCCUCCAGCGCCGAUGGUACUUGGGUCUAAGCCCUGGGAGAGUAGGUCGUUGCCAGGC